This is a long non-coding RNA of Dromaius novaehollandiae (emu), 366 nucleotides long. RefSeq lists it as uncharacterized. NCBI's taxonomy places the organism in Eukaryota, Metazoa, Chordata, Aves, Casuariiformes, Dromaiidae. The record is from RefSeq and is a predicted model, not a curated record. The transcript has 3 exons.
CUGCAAAGCAUAGGUAACUGGUUGUUUCCUGUCUCCCUCGCUGCAGAAUUGCACUGUUCCCUGGUCUUCACCCACCUCAGUCCAACAGAAUCGCAUUUGGCAACUCCCAAGCAAAAAGUCCAAACUCCUCUUGGAAGGGAAGUAAAAAGAAAAGGGACAAGAAGUAACAGUAAAAAAAUACAGUAAAAGCACUCUUCAAAGUCCUGUGUCUUCUGGCCUUUGAAAAUGACUUUCUUUCCUGGUGAUCUGUUACUUAGUUUAACCUUCCAAGGACAGGCUGCCUUGGUGAUGUGCCAGUGGCAGACACUUCCUUACUGAGACCGUCAAGAAGUGCAUCAUUCUGCAGGUGCAAUAGCUAUAUCUUGG